RNAcentral lists this long non-coding RNA (248 nucleotides) under Trifolium pratense (red clover). Its description in RNAcentral is "long non-coding RNA (TPRA_LNC004669)". The record is from RNAcentral. Lineage: Eukaryota; Viridiplantae; Streptophyta; Magnoliopsida; Fabales; Fabaceae.
CAAACUUAAAAACAAUUCAAGCAAAAUGAGUUCGUCUUCAUUUGGCUCCAUCUUCAUUUGUCUCUCACAACUACAGGAUCAUCUUCAUUUGUUUCCAUCUUCAUGUCACCUUUUUCAUUCUUCAUGAGUUCGUCAAACUCAACCAUCCGGUCCAUAAAUGUAUUCUCCCAAGUCUCAGCCUCUGGCGCCCUAUGAUUUUUCCAUUCCUUACAAGUUGGAGGCAGUGGACACCCAACCUUCAAUUUAAC